UACGUAGGGUGCAAGCGUUGUCCGGAAUUAUUGGGCGUAAAGAGCUCGUAGGCGGUCUGUCGCGUCGGCUGUGGAAAUCCCGAGGCUCAACCUCGGGUCUGCAGUCGAUACGGGCAAACUAGAGUAUUGCAGGGGAGACUGGAAUUCCUGGUGUAGCGGUGGAAUGCGCAGAUAUCAGGAGGAACACCGGUGGCGAAGGCGGGUCUCUGGGCAGUAACUGACGCUGAGGAGCGAAAAGCGUGGGGAGCGAAACAGG
This 256-nucleotide ribosomal RNA is filed under the name uncultured bacterium. RNAcentral describes it as "partial 16S ribosomal RNA". It matches the Rfam family "Bacterial small subunit ribosomal RNA", at positions 524 to 776 of the family's 1533-position model. The record is from RNAcentral.